CCUAAAUCGAGUUCAACCGUACAACCGCACUACUAUUGUGAUAUUUUUUAUUAACCACAUUGCGUUUUCGCUCUCUCUUGUAUGCCGCCACUUCAUCCGACGAUUUUGAAACCAAACUUUGACCUAAUGAUGACACAAAGUUGACAUAUCAGAUUUUAUUUGAUAAAUUAUAUAACCUGUGCGUCGGUUAGACCUAAAGUUGCUGCCAACUGUCGUCUGUCUGGUUUCGUGAUGUAUUUCUGUAGAGAGAAUCUUCUUUCC
Long non-coding RNA from Temnothorax curvispinosus, 261 nucleotides. RefSeq lists it as uncharacterized. NCBI's taxonomy places the organism in Eukaryota, Metazoa, Arthropoda, Insecta, Hymenoptera, Formicidae. The transcript is spliced from 3 exons. The record is from RefSeq and is a predicted model, not a curated record.